Long non-coding RNA from Cimex lectularius (bed bug), 367 nucleotides. RefSeq lists it as uncharacterized. The transcript is spliced from 2 exons. The record is from RefSeq and is a predicted model, not a curated record. NCBI's taxonomy places the organism in Eukaryota, Metazoa, Arthropoda, Insecta, Hemiptera, Cimicidae.
AGACAUUGUAACUGGAUUCAUUCCAAGUCUAAAACGUCAUCUCACCUGAUUGCUUUUUCGCCCAGGCAUAUUUUUUUUUUCCUCUGCAGUUUCAGGAGGAAAAGGAGUGUGAAAGAAAAUUCUAGGGGUGACAGUGGGAAUCGAACCCAUGACCAGUGUCUAUAAGCCAAAAACCGAAAGCGCUAACCUCUCGGCUAUCAUGCCCCCCCCCCAUUAUUAUUAUAAACAAUUAGAUGUAUACUUUUUCUGUAUGUCAUGGUAUAGAUAAAGUUCAUCAAAGAAACAAAAAUUCUCAUUACAUUAAACAUUAAAAAAUAUUGUGCAUAAGCUUUAAAAACUGUGCUUGUAAUAAACCAAUUACAUUUGA